This 73-nucleotide transfer RNA is filed under the name Cordylochernes scorpioides. RNAcentral describes it as "tRNA-Thr". It matches the Rfam family "tRNA". From Rfam's summary of the family: Transfer RNA (tRNA) molecules are approximately 80 nucleotides in length. The record is from RNAcentral. Lineage: Eukaryota; Metazoa; Arthropoda; Arachnida; Pseudoscorpiones; Chernetidae.
UCCAGGGUAGCCGAGAGGACAAGGCACCUGCCCGGUGAGCAGAAGGGUGUGGGUUCGAUUCCCGCCCCUGGAC